AUCUAAUAUUUUCACUCUUCGUCGGCCCCCUUCUGUUUGGAAGAAAAAGGAAAAAAUGUUAAAGGACCCUGUUGGGGAAUCCCUUCCUGCAGAUCCUGAUGCCCUCCAGCACACCGUUACAGCGCAGCUGGUGCAUGACCAGAGGAUUCU
This is a non-coding RNA of Pimephales promelas (fathead minnow), 150 nucleotides long. The record is from RefSeq and is a predicted model, not a curated record. NCBI's taxonomy places the organism in Eukaryota, Metazoa, Chordata, Actinopteri, Cypriniformes, Leuciscidae.